UACAGAGGGGGCAAGCGUUGUUCGGAAUUACUGGGCGUAAAGGGCGCGUAGGCGGCCUGUUAAGUCGAACGUGAAAUCCCCGGGCUCAACCCGGGAACUGCGUCCGAUACUGGCAGGCUUGAAUCCGGGAGAGGGAUGCGGAAUUCCAGGUGUAGCGGUGAAAUGCGUAGAUAUCGGAAGGAACACCGGUGGCGAAAGCGGCGCGCUGGACCUCUUCUGACGCUGAGGCGCGAAAGCCAGGGGAGCGAAC
Molecule: ribosomal RNA, 250 nt
Filed under: uncultured bacterium
Lineage: Bacteria
Description: partial 16S ribosomal RNA
Rfam family: Bacterial small subunit ribosomal RNA
Source: RNAcentral